GAAAGAUAGAAUACAUUUUUAUUCUAACAAUAACACACUGGAUUUGAGUAGAAUGCAAGUCAGCUGAUAAUAUGGACAGUUUGGUACAGAACAAAGUAAUGGUGUGGUGGGCUACCACAGUGUGAUACAAAACAAGGGUAAAGUACAGAAUAGUUAAGAAUAGAUUCUAUCUGUCAUUUUAUCGUACAGCCUGUAAAACCUUUAAACCUUUUCAACACCUUUUCAAAAUUUUCUUUCAAGCCCACUAAGUUUGUCUUGACUAACUGUACUUGUCUAGUAGUAAAAAUGUAGGACUUGCAGUAAAGUUUGCCAAAUGUCCAUUUCCUGAUGUGAAUUGACUUGCUUGUUCCACCUAAUUUUCUCUUCUUGUCCUUCACAGCAACAGUUUAAAAACAACAAAGAAAGUGUUUUGUGGAAUCUGACAUCAUCUCUGCCUUACGAGUUGCGAAUACGUUGUGAUCCCACCAAUGAGUGUGUACAGUGUCCUCGUAGUGAGGUCAUCGUGGUUCCACCGGAACUCACAGAUGCACCAUCAAUCCAGCUGGAGAUUCAAGACCAUAUACAAAAUCGUUUUAUAUCACCAGGACAGAGAAAAGUAGUCGUGAAGUGGGAGUAUGCAAACAGUGAGGCUGUGGCUUACUACAAUGUGACAGUGAGGAAAGUAUCCGGGGAAUUUAGCAAUCAGGACAGUUUCAGAACUGAAGAUUCAUCUCUCACCAUGAUCCUGUCUUACUCUGUAUACAACAUCAGUAUCAGAGCUUUAAACACUGCUGGAUCAUCUCCUGUUUCCAGUAUAGCCACUGAGCAAAUGGAUGAAUGGAGGGAUUCAUUUGGGCCAUUCAGUGUCAACAUAACCAGCCACAACCAUUUUAGUCUGUCCUGGAACAGGUCCGUCUCAAGUGUUUGUUACUCUGUGGAGUGGUGGGCCAAAGAACAGAUACCAACUUUUUGUACAUUCUACGAAAAGCAGACACGCAAAGAAAUAACUGGGAAAACUGAAACCUAUAGGAGCAUAGGACGUGACGUGUGGCCAAUUUUUCAGCCAUAUACAAGAUAUUAUUUCGUCCUGCACACCAGACCGUACCCAGACACCUGCAACAUGAAGAAUGUAAACAACAGUGAGACGACCUAUGGCACAGCCCAAGCUUACUUCACUGAAGGAAGUCCUAUCAGUGCUCCUGGGAAUGUGAGCAUUUUUAAUAUUACCCGGCAUUCCUCAGUAAUCACAUGGUGCCCCGUGUCUGAGGAAGACCUGCGUGGAUUCUUAUUAGGCUACUACAUCUACUUGACAUGGGAAAAUAAUGAAACAUCCUUCAAAGUGGAUCCCAGCGUAAACAGUUAUGAGCUGCAGAAUCUUGAAAGCAACAGUGCGUACCGCGUGCAGCUGUCUGCAUUUACAGCGGCUGGAGAAGGAGAGCGAAGUGAUUUCAAACACUUUGUCACAAACCUACUAGGGUAUCCUGGAGCCACUGAACAGACAGAGGUUAGAGGAAAGUGAGGGAUGUGAUUACACUGCAGUCCAGUACAGUGUUUGUCGUUGGGAGCAAGAGGGAGGCAUCUCCUCUCUGUAGCCCUCCCACUGCUCAGGCUGGUGUGCCCACCACCCUUCUCCUCAGUGAAGAUGAGGACAGCCCAUCCAUCCCGGAGCAGAUCCCACCACCUGACAUCCCAACACAAGUCCUUCAAGGGGCGUUUCUAGGAUUUUCAUUUUAGGGGGGCUCAGCCCCCAACAAGGGUAUGAUUAAAAAAAUAUAUUAUUUGAGGUAGGGUAGGGUAGGGUUGUAUACUACUAACCUUAUUGUAAUCCACUAUUCCAUUGUAUUCCCUGUAUUUCAUAUAUGGGAGUAGGAGUACUGACUGAGCCAUAUACAACACUGUAAAACAUUUUUGAAAAAUGUAGAUGUGACCAGUCACUAGAAAAUUUUGAGUUGGGAAUGUAGAUUUUUUUUACAAUGAAGACUUCCUGAUUCAUUAUUAGGACAUUCAUGUUUAUCCUUUGACGAUACCACUGUUUUUUCUUAUGAAAUGUACGUGGAAAUUGGCAGACAAUUAAAACAACAUAAGGGUUCAAUGACUGCAAUUAAUCUUGUGAACACAGUGGUAUUGUGUGUGAGAGGCUGUCUACGUUCUAUUCUCAUUUUUUGAAAAAUUUAGAUGUGACCAGUCAUUAGAAAAUUUUGAGUUGGGAAUGUAGAUUUUUUUUACAAUGAAGACUUCCUGAUUCAUUAUUAGGACAUUCAUGUUUAUCCUUUGACGAUACCACUGUUUUUUCUUAUGAAAUGUACGUGGAAAUUGGCAGACAAUUAAAACAACAUAAGGGUUCAAUGACUGCAAUUAAUCUUGUGAACACAGUGGUAUUGUGUGUGAGAGGCUGUCUACGUUCUAUUCUCACCUGACUUGCUCAUUUGCAGACCUACUCCCGCACUACAAGAAAAAAUGUUGUAUAUCCAUCUACAAUGAAAUAUAUAUAUAUUAGCCUUUAUAAUCAACAAUACGGUUGGUUAUACAUCAAGUCACCCCCUGAAAAUUUAUUUCAUUUCAAAUCAUUUAACUAACCAGCUAAUAUUCAUUAAGAAUACAGACAAAACAUGUAUUAAUGCAAUUGUCUAUUGGCAAUAUGUUUAAUCUAUUCUAUAUUUAUUUCUAUUUAUUAAAAAUAACAACAUGAAUUAUCAUGGCACUUCUAUAAAUCAAUUACUUAAAAAAAAAUCACAAAUCCCUUUAAUCUACUCUUACUCUAAUAUAUGUAUCAUGAUACACUAUGAUUCAUUAUUACUUAAUACAAAAAUAUAUUUAAAAAUACAAAACAAAAUAACUCCACAUGAUGUUUCUCUCUCUGUGCCAUUUAGUGCUCUCAGACGUGUGUCUUUAAUCAUUUCUGUGCAUGGCUGCAUAAUGUAAUGCCGAAAUACACAAUAAUAUGUUUUGAAUUUUAAAAAGUAAAUUAAAAUAAAUCACUAUUGUUUUCUAAAGUAUGUUUUCA
Cyprinus carpio (common carp) is the source of this 2983-nucleotide long non-coding RNA. NCBI's taxonomy places the organism in Eukaryota, Metazoa, Chordata, Actinopteri, Cypriniformes, Cyprinidae. The record is from Ensembl.